GGUCCGCGCGCGGGCAUUAGCAAAGAACCGCAGAAAUAAUCUAUAAGUACAAUAAAAUGAGGUGGCAAUCGUGUGGUUCGUUACUAAAGUGAGCAUUCAAUGCAAGUGUAAAUAUUGAUAUUUUGUAAAGUGAGUGUUUCACUGUAAAGUGAGUAUUUGAUGACAUGUACUGUAUAGAUGCGUUUGUGUGUAGUUGAUGAAUACGUGGGACGUGGUUACUCUCUCACUCUCGGGUUCAGUGACAUCACUCCUGCAAGGCAUGCAGCUGACCUAGAGAGUUGUAAGCGCUCAUCACCCGUGUAUCUCCAAAUUAUUUAUGAGAGCGUUAUUUGAGGGUUAAAUAUGCACCGUAAUUCAAAUACCUGUGCGUGCUGGAUAGGUAUUGGAAAACACAAUGAUUAGGCUGAUCUGCAUGCCAGUCUUGGGGGAGAUCACAUCCCCGUAGUGCGCAGUGCAGAGUCUGUUGCGGGUGUUGUUUCCUCUCGUUUGUGAAGAGUUGAUAAGAGAGAGCUCAUCCCGAUGAUUACAAAAUUCACGGUCCUAUCGCCUGAGCCCCUGUGGCCCUGCGACAGUCUCAUUGAAGGAUGAAGGGAUGAGAGGUGCAGUACGAGAUGGUGGGGAGUGAAGGGAUGAGAGGUGCAGUACGAGAUGGUGGGGAGUGAAGGGAUGAGAGGUGCAGUACGAGAUGGUGGGGAUGAAGGGAUGAGAGGUGCAGUACGAGAUGGUGGGAGUGAAGGGAUGAGAGGUGCAGUACGAGAUGGUGGGAGUGAAGGGGGGGGGGGGUGGCGGGGAGGCGGGGGCGAGCGUGUG
Long non-coding RNA from Anguilla rostrata (American eel), 810 nucleotides. RefSeq lists it as uncharacterized. The transcript has 3 exons. The record is from RefSeq and is a predicted model, not a curated record. Lineage: Eukaryota; Metazoa; Chordata; Actinopteri; Anguilliformes; Anguillidae.